RNAcentral lists this ribosomal RNA (789 nucleotides) under Vibrionaceae bacterium GUDS1147. RNAcentral's name for it is "bacterial SSU rRNA". It matches the Rfam family "Bacterial small subunit ribosomal RNA", at positions 54 to 834 of the family's 1533-position model. Lineage: Bacteria; Pseudomonadati; Pseudomonadota; Gammaproteobacteria; Vibrionales; Vibrionaceae. The record is from RNAcentral.
CAUGCAGUCGGGCGGAACGAAAGAAAGCUUGCUUUCUUGGCGUCGAGCGGCGGACGGGUGAGUAAUGCCUGGGAAAUUGCCCUGAUGUGGGGGAUAACCAUUGGAAACGAUGGCUAAUACCGCAUAACGUCUACGGACCAAAGAGGGGGACCUUCGGGCCUCUCGCGUCGGGAUAUGCCCAGGUGGGAUUAGCUUGUUGGUGAGGUAAAGGCUCACCAAGGCGACGAUCCCUAGCUGGUCUGAGAGGAUGAUCAGCCACACUGGAACUGAGACACGGUCCAGACUCCUACGGGAGGCAGCAGUGGGGAAUAUUGCACAAUGGGCGCAAGCCUGAUGCAGCCAUGCCGCGUGUAUGAAGAAGGCCUUCGGGUUGUAAAGUACUUUCAGCAGUGAGGAAGGUGGUGUAUUUAAUACGUGCAUCAUUUGACGUUAGCUGCAGAAGAAGCACCGGCUAACUCCGUGCCAGCAGCCGCGGUAAUACGGAGGGUGCGAGCGUUAAUCGGAAUUACUGGGCGUAAAGCGCAUGCAGGUGGAUGAUUAAGUCAGAUGUGAAAGCCCGGGGCUUAACCCCGGAACAGCAUUUGAAACUGGUCAUCUAGAGUACUGUAGAGGGGGGUAGAAUUUCAGGUGUAGCGGUGAAAUGCGUAGAGAUCUGAAGGAAUACCGGUGGCGAAGGCGGCCCCCUGGACAGAUACUGACACUCAGAUGCGAAAGCGUGGGGAGCAAACAGGAUUAGAUACCCUGGUAGUCCACGCCGUAAACGAUGUCUACUUGGAGGUUGUGGCCUUG